UACGUAGGGUGCAAGCGUUAAUCGGAAUUACUGGGCGUAAAGCGUGCGCAGGCGGCUUUGCAAGACAGAUGUGAAAUCCCCGGGCUCAACCUGGGAACUGCAUUUGUGACUGCAAGGCUAGAGUACGGCAGAGGGGGAUGGAAUUCCGCGUGUAGCAGUGAAAUGCGUAGAUAUGCGGAGGAACACCAAUGGCGAAGGCAAUCCCCUGGGCCUGUACUGACGCUCAUGCACGAAAGCAUGGGGAGCAAACAGG
This 253-nucleotide ribosomal RNA is filed under the name uncultured bacterium. RNAcentral's name for it is "partial 16S ribosomal RNA". It matches the Rfam family "Bacterial small subunit ribosomal RNA", at positions 524 to 776 of the family's 1533-position model. The record is from RNAcentral.